ACACAAUGGAACAGGAAUACAAAUAUAGUGUAGUAUGUCUAGAAGGAGUAGAGGCAAAACAUAAAUCUUUAGCUCCAGAAAAGUAUGAGUGCAAUACUUUUCUUUAUUUUUUGCCUCUACUCCUUCUAGACAUACUACACUAUAUUUGUAUUCCUGUCCCAUUUUGUA
This is a non-coding RNA of Pelobates cultripes (western spadefoot toad), 168 nucleotides long. Lineage: Eukaryota; Metazoa; Chordata; Amphibia; Anura; Pelobatidae. The record is from the annotation of a GenBank genome assembly.